UGGGGAAUUUUGGACAAUGGGCGAAAGCCUGAUCCAGCAAUGCCGCGUGUGUGAAGAAGGCCUUCGGGUUGUAAAGCACUUUUGUCCGGAAAGAAAUCCUUGGCUCUAAUACAGUCGGGGGAUGACGGUACCGGAAGAAUAAGCACCGGCUAACUACGUGCCAGCAGCCGCGGUAAUACGUAGGGUGCAAGCGUUAAUCGGAAUUACUGGGCGUAAAGCGUGCGCAGGCGGUUUGCUAAGACCGAUGUGAAAUCCCCGGGCUCAACCUGGGAACUGCAUUGGUGACUGGCAGGCUAGAGUAUGGCAGAGGGGGGUAGAAUUCCACGUAUAGCAGUGAAAUGCGUAGAGAUGUGGAGGAAUACCGAUGGCGAAGGCAGCCCCCUGGGCCAAUACUGACGCUCAUGCACGAAAGCGUGGGGAGCAAACAGGAUUAGAUACCCUGGUAGUCCACGCCCUAAAACGAUGUCAACUAGUUGUUGGGGAUUCAUUUCCUAGUAACGUAGCUAACGCGUGAAGUUGACCGCCUGGGGAGUACGGUCGCAAGAUUAAAACUCAAAUGAAUUGACGGGGUCAUAGCUG
Molecule: ribosomal RNA, 579 nt
Filed under: uncultured bacterium
Lineage: Bacteria
Description: partial 16S ribosomal RNA
Rfam family: Bacterial small subunit ribosomal RNA
Source: RNAcentral